GAGUGAGGAGUAGGUGAAUGUUUGGUGUUCUGCGAAUGCCCAGCCUGACAUUGUGUUUGUGUUUUGUUAAACCUUUAUUUUGGCCCUUGUGCCUGUUCCUUUGUUCCUGUUUUUGUGUUAUUUUGUUUAUUAAGCACGAGAACAGCUGAGAGUAAGCCAAAUAGAAACCUGGUUGUCCUUGUCAGAGUCCAUCAGUGAUACCAGAGGAGAUUGGGAGAGAGAUCCAAUUCAUUACUCCUACCCUGCCUCCUGGCAGCCCAUUGUGAAGUUAAUCAGGAAACUCUCUAUAUUGAGGCUGCUCUGCAUGAAAUAAUCGCCCGCGGAUGCAGUAAAAAGGAUUUGUCAUUGUGGAAAACCAAAGACUAUUCAAUGGCUGACAGCAUGGCCUGCCCUUUCUACCUGCUAGAACAUGUGUGGAGUUUUUACAGUCCAAUAUAAGGAUGGUCGACUGUGGGAAUGAAUGAGAUUAAUUGGUCCUAGCAUGAGCUACUGUUUCCCUCAUUAUUUAUAACUGCUUGUUCUUCUGCCAUGCUGUGCGUAUAAUAACAGGUCCUAUGGAUUCUAUUUGGUGGCUUCUGUCUGUUUUCUCUCUCUGCCAAAUUACUUGUACAGGUCGUGCCCCUAAGCUCAUUACACUGUCAGCUGGCCAUUAGUAGCAGGCAAGCAAAACUUUUCAAGUGUUGUCACCACUUCAUUUAACUCAGUUACAUAUCCCUCUAGAUAUUGCAGGAAGAAUAUUAGGGAGCACUUCGCCUUGGGAAAGGAGUUUAGAAAUGCAACACAAACCAGGUACAUACAUUGGAAUUCUAAUGCUUAGUAAAUGUACUCCAGGUCAGCUACAGAUUAAAGUGUUUGUUACUGGCAGCCAUAAUCUCUUACCUCUAUCCCAAACAGUUUUGUCUGACAUUCUACUUAUAAACUAGGGAGAUUUUUAAACAAACAUUUGGUUGUUUAAGGGAAACUGCAGCUGCAGCAAAGCUUUCAGAGCCUCGAAGAUAAUGAAAUAAUUCCAUAAAUCAAUCCAGGGAUGGAAAUAAGGCUCCCAUUUCAUAGCUGUUUGAUCCAUUCCUGUUUUUACUAUGAGUGUAAUAAGACACACCUGAGCUUGUCACCUAUACACUGGGGCUAAUCAAGCUUGCAGUAAAACCUGGAGUGGUUGAAACUGCUAUGCAAUAGGAGUCCUAUUUCUAUCCCUGCUGUCAUGCACUUCAAUUUCUUACGUAGAUCUCACAUGGGCAGUAAUUGAAAAGCAAAUGCAUGUUAUAGCAAAUGUGUUAUUUUCAACUAGGUUAAAGAAAGUGUUAGUUAAAGGCGAGAAAAUAGAAGGAAGGUAAAAAGGUGUAAUUUCACCAGAAAUGUA
Long non-coding RNA from Acipenser ruthenus (sterlet), 1360 nucleotides. RefSeq lists it as uncharacterized. The transcript has 4 exons. NCBI's taxonomy places the organism in Eukaryota, Metazoa, Chordata, Actinopteri, Acipenseriformes, Acipenseridae. The record is from RefSeq and is a predicted model, not a curated record.